RNAcentral lists this ribosomal RNA (491 nucleotides) under uncultured bacterium. RNAcentral's name for it is "partial 16S ribosomal RNA". It matches the Rfam family "Bacterial small subunit ribosomal RNA", at positions 28 to 507 of the family's 1533-position model. The record is from RNAcentral.
GAUGAACUCUUGCUACAGGCUUAACACAUGCAAGUCGAGGGGAAACGACGGGGUAGCUUGCUUCCCCUGGCGUCGACCGGCGCACGGGUGAGUAACGCGUAUCCAACCUGCCUCUUACUGAGGGUUAACCCGUCGAAAGUCGGCCUAAUACUUCAUUGCAUCGUCUUCGGGCAUCCAACGACGAUUAAAGAUUUCUUCUGUCAUAGAUUGGGUUGCGUCUGAUUAGCUUGUUGGCGGGGUAACGGCCCACCCAGGCGACGAUCAGUAGUGUUUCUGAGAGGAAGGUACACCGCAUUGGAACUGAGACACGGUCCAAACGCCUACGGGAGGCAGAAGUGAGGAAUAUUGGUCAAUGGGCGAGAGCCUGAACCAGCCAAGUAGCGGGAAGAAUGAAGGACAUAGGGGUUGUAAACUGAGUUUAUGAGGGGAUAAAGUGAGGGACGUGUCCUUCAUUGCAGGUACCGGAUGAAUAAGGACCGGCUAAUUCCGUG